AAGGUGGAAAUUGAUUGAUCAUAAACAAAGUACUCAACAUUUUUUCUUGCAGAAGCAAGCAAAACCAAUGCCUUGACGGUGACAAGCACCAGAAGUUGCAUGCUCAACAUUGAUGCACUGUCUUUUACAAUUUCCUGAGAUAAGACAAGGUCCUGACCAUGUUUUGCUUCGCCUUUCACAAAGUUUAGGUUCCACCUCUACAUAUAAAAAAAAAAAAAAAUAUGAAAAAUUAAAAACACAAAAAUAUGGAUUAGAAAAUGAACAAUUAUUAAUAUAGAUUGUUUGAUUAUUUGUACCACAUAUAUCUGGAGGUGAUAUGCAUCGAUCAUAAUGAUUAAUUGUUACAUUUAUAUUGUUAUAUUUUAGUUUUGGCAUUUUAAUAAUCGUUUUAAAGAAUAAUGUUAACAAUAUACUCUUUGGAGCACAUUUUUUGUAGCAGAAGCAAGCAAAACCAAAGCCUUGACGAUGACAAGCACCAAAAGUAGCAUGCUCCACAUUAAUGCAUUGUCUUUUGCAGUUUCCUGUGUUAAGACAAGGUCCUGACCAUGUUGUACUUCGCUUUUGACAAAGUUUUGCUUCCACCUCUACACAUAGAAAGCAAGAAAAUAACAAUGAAGCAAAUUAAGAACAUAAAUAAGGAUUAAUAAAUGAGAAAUUAUUAACAU
RNAcentral lists this long non-coding RNA (665 nucleotides) under Medicago truncatula (barrel medic). RNAcentral describes it as "long non-coding RNA (MTRU_LNC005871)". Lineage: Eukaryota; Viridiplantae; Streptophyta; Magnoliopsida; Fabales; Fabaceae. The record is from RNAcentral.